GAGUUUGAUCCUGGCUCAGGAUGAACGCUGGCGGCGUGCCUAAUACAUGCAAGUCGAACGAAACUUCUUUAUCACCGAGUGCUUGCACUCACCGAUAAAGGGUUGAGUGGCGAACGGGUGAGUAACACGUGGGCAACCUGCCCAAAAGAGGGGGAUAACACUUGGAAACAGGUGCUAAUACCGCAUAACCAUAGUUACCGCAUGGUAACUAUGUAAAAGGUGGCUAUGCUACCGCUUUUGGAUGGGCCCGCGGCGCAUUAGCUAGUUGGUGGGGUAAAGGCUUACCAAGGCAAUGAUGCGUAGCCGAACUGAGAGGUUGAUCGGCCACAUUGGGACUGAGACACGGCCCAAACUCCUACGGGAGGCAGCAGUAGGGAAUAUUGCACAAUGGGGGAAACCCUGAUGCAGCAACGCCGCGUGAGUGAAGAAGUAUUUCGGUAUGUAAAGCUCUAUCAGCAGGGAAGAAAAUGACGGUACCUGACUAAGAAGCUCCGGCUAAAUA
RNAcentral lists this ribosomal RNA (502 nucleotides) under uncultured Lactobacillus sp. RNAcentral describes it as "bacterial SSU rRNA". It matches the Rfam family "Bacterial small subunit ribosomal RNA", at positions 9 to 503 of the family's 1533-position model. Lineage: Bacteria; Bacillati; Bacillota; Bacilli; Lactobacillales; Lactobacillaceae. The record is from RNAcentral.